UUAUUCCGUCUUCGAAUCCGUCCGUGCUACACUGCGCUCGCCGGGCAACCGGCUAUGGAACUAAACGCCUCACAGAAUAAGCGUUACGGACCCGGGGGCGGUACCCGGCGCCUCCACCACUAUCCCGCCGUUCCGGUUCAUGAGCGGCUUUGUGGGGGCGAAAUAGGAUCGACGUGCGUAGUAAAGGUCAGGCUUGUUCUCGGUAUGAGUGCGACCGUCCAUCAGGCUCAAACACACUAAGUGCCAACGAUAACAUCGCUGUCACCGAAAAUGUUGCUCUCGCCGCCUAACGGCCGCUAGAGUAAUUUGAUUCGCGGUCCGGGGGCACCGGGCAACAGAACGCCCCCACU
Molecule: transfer-messenger RNA, 350 nt
Filed under: Telmatospirillum siberiense
Lineage: Bacteria; Pseudomonadati; Pseudomonadota; Alphaproteobacteria; Rhodospirillales; Rhodospirillaceae
Description: Alphaproteobacteria transfer-messenger RNA
Rfam family: Alphaproteobacteria transfer-messenger RNA
About the family: Bacterial tmRNA, also known as 10Sa RNA or SsrA, is named for its dual tRNA and mRNA-like properties. Its role is to liberate the mRNA from a stalled ribosome.
Source: Rfam by way of RNAcentral